This is a long non-coding RNA of Perognathus longimembris pacificus (Pacific pocket mouse), 1618 nucleotides long. RefSeq lists it as uncharacterized. The record is from RefSeq and is a predicted model, not a curated record. The transcript is spliced from 2 exons. NCBI's taxonomy places the organism in Eukaryota, Metazoa, Chordata, Mammalia, Rodentia, Heteromyidae.
AGUGGUAAAGUGCUAGCCUUGAGCAAAAGAAGCUCAAGGACAGUGCCCAAGCCUUGAGUUCAAGCCCCAGGACCAGCCCCCCCACCCACCCAAAAAAAAAUUCUUAAGAAGGUACCAACAAGUUUGAUUAUACAAACCUUUAAUCAGGAUCUGUUGGUUCACACCUGUUAAUAUCCUAGCUAAUCAGGAGGCUGAGAGAUUUGAGGAUCGUGGUUCAAAGACAAUCCUGGCAGAGAAGUUCCUGUGACACUUUUCAUCUCCAAUUAACACUCAAAAACCCGAAGUGGGGCUGUUGCUCAAAGUGGUAGAAUGCUAGCCUUGAGAAAAGGAGCUCAGGAACAGCACCCAGGCCCUGAGUUCAAGCUUCAUGUUCAACCAAAAAAGAGAUAAAAAUGAACAGAAAUUCUAAAAUAAAAUAAAGUCCCAUGCAAAUAAUUUUCUAUGGCACAAAUCCAUAACCCUAAUACUAGGGAACCUAAGGGAGAAAGAUGGGAAAGUUUAAGGGUAGGCCUGGUUUACAAAUCAAGGGGUGGGGGGUGUAAAAUAUGUUUUGGAGUAAUAUUGAAGGGGGGGAAGGGGGUUACAAAUACUACGCACACACUCUACCACUGAACCACCUACCUACAACCCACUAAUGCUUACUUUUUUGCAUAUUAACUUUCAUGAGAACAUUAAUGCUUUUCUUUCCUACAAGCUAACUAUUCUCAAUCAUAAAUUCUUUAUUAUAACAUAAAUAAAAUAUAAAUUCUCUAUUAAUUAAAGUAUAAAGUGGUUUAUACCUGAAAUUUCAGCUACUUGGGAAGCAGAGAUCAGGAAAGCACUCCAUAGCUGGGUAUUGUGGCACACAACUAUCAUUUCGGCUACACAGGAAGAAUCUGUCCAGGCACUCCUGAGCAUAAACACAAGAUCCUACCUCAAAAAUAACUAAAGCAGCCAGGUGCCAGUGUGUUCCUGUCAUCUCAGCUGCAUAGAAGGCUGAAAUCAGGGAAGUUGCAGUUCCAGGACAGCCCAAGAAAAGUUUUAAGAUUCCAUUUCAAAAGAAGGUGGAUGUAAUGACAAGCACCUAUUCCUCAACUACAUCAGGAAACCUAAAAUAGGUGGAUCCAAGAUACAAGUAUUCACCCCAGCUGGAAGCCCCAACCUCAAAAAUAACGAGUUCAGCUGGGCAUUGGUGGCUCAUGUCUGUUAUCCUAGCUACUCCAGUGUCUGAGAUCUGAGUAUUGCAGUUCAAAGCUAGCCUAGGCAGGAAAGUCAAUGAGACUUUUUAUCUCCUCCAAUAACUACCAAAAAUUAUAAGCUGAGGUGUGGCUCAAGUGGUAGAGCACUUGACGAGUGCUCAGGGAUAGUGCCCAGACCCUGAGUUCAAACUCCAGGAUUAACAACAACGACAACAAAAAAGUCAAGGGGGUUCACUAGCAGAGUCACUGCCUAGUUUAUUUAUUAAUACAAUGUAUCAGAGAAAAAAGUUUAAAACACCAUGCCUCUAUGAAACACAACAUGUAGAAAGAGAAACAGUCUUGAAUAUUUGAAAAUGAGGUUGAAGUUAAAAGUUCUAAGAACUAGCCAAUAUUGUUUACAUUUUACCACAAACAUUAUCCACCCAUACCUUCACAGUGGA